RNAcentral lists this long non-coding RNA (274 nucleotides) under Lathyrus oleraceus (garden pea). RNAcentral describes it as "Pisum sativum (pea) long non-coding RNA (PSAT_LNC037605)". Lineage: Eukaryota; Viridiplantae; Streptophyta; Magnoliopsida; Fabales; Fabaceae. The record is from RNAcentral.
UUUUUGGGUUGUAAUGGGGAUAAGGUGUAAGGUGGGGAGUCAACACAAAAAAUGGAAAUACUAGGGGUUCAGGCUCAGAAUCUGUGUUGCUACCCUCAUAAUUAUGGUGAAUCUUUUAAUCAGGGGGUAUUCCUAUUGGGCACCAUUCAUGUAGGAAUUCAUUGGCUCUUUUUUCCUUCUUUUUAUUGCUCUUUUGAGCAUGCUUUUUGCGAACCUUAAUUCUUAUAGAUAAGUGCUUCAUCAUACUUCUCGUAAUAUUUUUUUUUCAUUUUUU